UACGUAGGGUGCGAGCGUUAAUCGGAAUUACUGGGCGUAAAGCGUGCGCAGGCGGUUCUCCAAGUCCGUUGUGAAAGCCCCGGGCUCAACCUGGGAAUGGCAGUGGAAACUAGGGGACUGGAAUCUGGCAGAGGGGGGUGGAAUGCCGCGUGUAGCAGUGAAAUGCGUAGAGAUCGGGAGGAACAUCCAUGGCGAAGGCAGCUACCUGGACCAACACUGACACUGAGGCACGAAAGCGUGGGGAGCAAACAGG
This 253-nucleotide ribosomal RNA is filed under the name uncultured bacterium. Its description in RNAcentral is "partial 16S ribosomal RNA". It matches the Rfam family "Bacterial small subunit ribosomal RNA", at positions 524 to 776 of the family's 1533-position model. The record is from RNAcentral.